RNAcentral lists this ribosomal RNA (466 nucleotides) under uncultured bacterium. RNAcentral's name for it is "partial 16S ribosomal RNA". It matches the Rfam family "Bacterial small subunit ribosomal RNA", at positions 28 to 507 of the family's 1533-position model. The record is from RNAcentral.
GAUGAACGCUGGCGGCGUGCUUAACACAUGCAAGUCGAACGAUGAAGCCCAGCUUGCUGGGUGGAUUAGUGGCGAACGGGUGAGUAACACGUGAGUAACCUGCCCUUAACUCUGGGAUAAGCCUGGGAAACUGGGUCUAAUACCGGAUAGGAGCGUCCACCGCAUGGUGGGUGUUGGAAAGAUUUAUCGGUUUUGGAUGGACUCGCGGCCUAUCAGCUUGUUGGUGAGGUACUGGCUCACCAAGGCGACGACGGGUAGCCGGCCUGGGAGGGUGACCGGCCACACUGGGACUGAGACACGGCCCAGACUCCUACGGGAGGCAGCAGUGGGGAAUAUUGCACAAUGGGCGCAAGCCUGAUGCAGCGACGCCGCGUGAGGGAUGACGGCCUUCGGGUUGUAAACCUCUUUCAGUAGGGAAGAAGCGAAAGUGACGGUACCUGCAGAAGAAGCACCGGCUAACUACGUG